This 434-nucleotide ribosomal RNA is filed under the name uncultured Lachnospiraceae bacterium. Its description in RNAcentral is "bacterial SSU rRNA". It matches the Rfam family "Bacterial small subunit ribosomal RNA", at positions 341 to 792 of the family's 1533-position model. The record is from RNAcentral. Lineage: Bacteria; Bacillati; Bacillota; Clostridia; Lachnospirales; Lachnospiraceae.
ACGGAAGGCAGCAGUGGGGAAUAUUGCACAAUGGGGGAAACCCUGAUGCAGCGACGCCGCGUGAGUGAAGAAGUUAUUCGUAAUGUAAAGCUCUAUCAGCAGGGAAGAAAAUGACGGUACCUGACUAAGAAGCCCCGGCUAACUACGUGCCAGCAGCCGCGGUAAUACGUAGGGGGCAAGCGUUAUCCGGAUUUACUGGGUGUAAAGGGAGCGUAGACGGUUCUGCAAGUCUGAUGUGAAAGGCAGGGGCUCAACUCCUGGACUGCAUUGGAAACUGUAGAACUAGAGUGCCGGAGAGGUAAGCGGAAUUCCUAGCGUAGCGGUGAAAUGCGUAGAUAUUAGGAGGAACACCAGUGGCGAAGGCGGCUUACUAGACGGUAACUGACGUUGAGGCUCGAAAGCGUGGGGAGCAAACAGGAUUAGAUACCCUGGUA